CUCACAGGCUCGGUGUGCCCCAGCAGACCUAGCUGCCAGGGCAGUGACAACAUGCGUUACCUUCAUGUCCACUGACGGGUCCCCCUGCAGCAGUGCCCACUCAUACUGGACGAUGGCGUGGUCAUCUGUGCUCUCGCGGCCGUCUAGAACCACCCCGUCUGUGGGCAGAUGCAGAACCACAUCCUGCCCAGCCUUGCUAAGUGGAGGCGCAUCCUUUUCUG
This 221-nucleotide long non-coding RNA is filed under the name Homo sapiens (human). RNAcentral describes it as "HSALNT0115079". The record is from RNAcentral. Lineage: Eukaryota; Metazoa; Chordata; Mammalia; Primates; Hominidae.